CCGGCGGUGGUCAGACGGUCAUCAUGGUGGGCUUCAAACCCUUCUGUCCCGGGUUCGAACCCUCCGCCCGCCGCU
RNAcentral lists this transfer RNA (75 nucleotides) under Fasciola gigantica. Its description in RNAcentral is "tRNA-Sec". The record is from RNAcentral. Lineage: Eukaryota; Metazoa; Platyhelminthes; Trematoda; Plagiorchiida; Fasciolidae.